GCGAGCAUGCUGGAACUGGCAGACAGGCACGUUUGAGGGGCGUGUGGGAGACCGUAUGGGUUCAAGUCCCAUUGCUCGCACCA
Molecule: transfer RNA, 83 nt
Filed under: Christensenellaceae bacterium
Lineage: Bacteria; Bacillati; Bacillota; Clostridia; Christensenellales; Christensenellaceae
Description: tRNA-Leu
Rfam family: tRNA
About the family: Transfer RNA (tRNA) molecules are approximately 80 nucleotides in length. Their secondary structure includes four short double-helical elements and three loops (D, anti-codon, and T loops).
Source: RNAcentral